Molecule: long non-coding RNA, 228 nt
Filed under: Elaeis guineensis (African oil palm)
Lineage: Eukaryota; Viridiplantae; Streptophyta; Magnoliopsida; Arecales; Arecaceae
Description: long non-coding RNA (EGUI_LNC064333)
Source: RNAcentral
UCAAUAUUUAGCUUAUGGACAAUCACGUCAAAAGAAAUAUCUGGCAUGUUGAAAGCUGAUCAAGCAAAAAUGUUGGCAUUUUCUCAUAGAAAGUCUUGAGCAUCUUUCGAAGAUCUUGACUUAGUGCAGAUCUGACUUGGAUCAUCUUUGUUGGGUCUUCUUCUCUCAAGGAGAUCGAAAUUAGUUGCUCGACAGGUUCUCCACGAUUUUCUUUCUCUCUAUGAUCCA